GAGAAACUUUGCAUCAGCAGCUCCAUGCUCCAGUGCUCUGCGAGAGUUUAUAUUCCUGACAGUUGAACACUGGAUGACUGACAGCUGUCCUUCAUCACAACUGAAGACACAGAAAUCCUCCUCAUCAAAAACAUGACUUUGAUCUGCAUCCUCAUCUGGACUCUCCUCUGCUGCUGCUUCACAGAGGUCAGAGGUCAGGUCACAGUGACUCAGCCUGCAGCCGUGAGAGCUGAUCUUGGAGGAUCUGCCACCAUCACCUGUAGGACCAACUAUGGAGUAUAUAGCAGUAGCUAUUUACACUGGUACCAGCAGAAAGACAGAGCAGCACCGAAACUGCUCAUGUACAUCACCAGCACUCGAGCAUCAGGGACUCCAAGUCGUUUUAUAGGCAGUGGAUCAAACUCUGACUUCACUCUGACCAUCAGUGGAGUUCAGGCUGAAGAUGCUGCAGUUUAUUACUGUCAGAGUUUUCAUGUCAUCAGCAGCCAGUACGUGUUCACACAGUGAAAAACAGUCAUACAAAAACCUCCCUCAGUCAAACUGAACUGAAACUAUGUUGCUGCAGCUUCCAGCUGCUGCAGAAACUGAUAGUUUACUGAAAUCCUUCACAUGGAUACACACAAAUUUUCAUGAAGGUGUUUCAAAAUAAAUGAGUAAAAUGUA
This is a non-coding RNA of Xiphophorus couchianus (Monterrey platyfish), 663 nucleotides long. The record is from the annotation of a RefSeq genome assembly. Lineage: Eukaryota; Metazoa; Chordata; Actinopteri; Cyprinodontiformes; Poeciliidae.